This 225-nucleotide ribosomal RNA is filed under the name Escherichia coli. RNAcentral's name for it is "partial 16S ribosomal RNA". It matches the Rfam family "Bacterial small subunit ribosomal RNA", at positions 1 to 222 of the family's 1533-position model. The record is from RNAcentral. Lineage: Bacteria; Pseudomonadati; Pseudomonadota; Gammaproteobacteria; Enterobacterales; Enterobacteriaceae.
AAAUUGAAGAGUUUGAUCAUGGCUCAGAUUGAACGCUGGCGGCAGGCCUAACACAUGCAAGUCGAACGGUAACAGGAAGCAGCUUGCUGCUUCGCUGACGAGUGGCGGACGGGUGAGUAAUGUCUGGGAAGCUGCCUGAUGGAGGGGGAUAACUACUGGAAACGGUAGCUAAUACCGCAUAACGUCGCAAGACCAAAGAGGGGGACCUUCGGGCCUCUUGCCAUC